AUUGAACGCUGGCGGAAUGCUUUACACAUGCAAGUCGAACGGCAGCACGGGUGCUUGCACCUGGUGGCGAGUGGCGAACGGGUGAGUAAUGCACCGGAACGUAUCCAAUAAUGGGGGAUAACGCACCGAAAGGUGUGCUAAUACCGCAUACGCCCUGAGGGGGAAAGCGGGGGAUCGUAAGACCUCGCGUUAAUGGAGCGGCCGAUGCCGGAUUAGCUAGUUGGUGAGGUAAAGGCUCACCAAGGCGACGAUCCGUAGCUGGUCUGAGAGGACGACCAGCCACACUGGAACUGAGACACGGUCCAGACUCCUACGGGAGGCAGCAGUGGGGAAUUUUGGACAAUGGGCGCAAGCCUGAUCCAGCCAUUCCGCGUGAGUGAAGAAGGCCUUCGGGUUGUAAAGG
RNAcentral lists this ribosomal RNA (403 nucleotides) under uncultured bacterium. RNAcentral describes it as "bacterial SSU rRNA". It matches the Rfam family "Bacterial small subunit ribosomal RNA", at positions 30 to 431 of the family's 1533-position model. The record is from RNAcentral.